UUCUAUUCACAAAAUACAACCAAUGGUGCCGCAAUGUUAAAAAGUACUUGUGAAAAUAAUCCUCCGGGCUCUAUUUGCGAUGGUCUGCCGAUUAGAACAGUGCUCCACAGUGCUAGCUGGCAUCUUAUCUGCUGCCAUGCAACGAAACUAGGAGUACGACCGGUUUAAGAUGGCCGCCGUAUUUCUCAGUCCCCAGCGGCCAAUAGGGCAUCUAGUCUUCUAUAUGAUAUCUAUGGUUCUGAUGGCUGUCUGCGAGAUCUUGCGUAUCACACGAGGAAGCUUCGGAGAAAGAAGAGAAACCUUCAAUUUAGAAAAGUGAUGGUGAUCUUGUCAAUGCUGAGAUUUUCAUGCAUCAACAGCCACUACAUCUGGAUCAGGAUUGAACAAGAAACAGACAGCAAGGGUUGUCAGGUCAGAAACAGAAUGACACACAAACACAAGAAACUUCACAGGCAGAUCACCAUGCAAUUUGAAGAAGUGUGAUAAAAUGCACAGUGUGAUAAAGUCGUGUGUCUUUCCAGAUGCCCAAAUCAUUCCCCCUUAAAAGAUGAGCCUGAAGAGGAGAUUUGGGAAGAUGAUGUUUCAUAAGUCUUUGUUUUGCCAGAUCACCAGUGGUAAGUUUGUAAAACUUAUAUUAAAAAUAGGAUUAGAACAUCUCCUAAUCAAGUUUUUGAUCAGGUAGGGAUGUCUGCUAACAAGAUGCCUUGCUGGUUUGGGCGAGUUUGAAGUCCCACACAGACAGUCCAGAGGUUCUGAAGUGCACGUAGGAGUUUUCCUUUACUCAAAACAUGUUCUGAGGGCAGAAAGAAUAUGAUUGGUUCACAAAAACGACCGAUCAAAAUGCUCGUUACUGGUUUAAGCCCUCAGCGGAGCCUUCAAGGCAGCUUCUGCAGUGAAGCAGUUCGAGCUCACCGUUGGUAAGAUGAGUAGCGCAGAUAUGGUAAGAUAGGAAUGAGAAUGUUUCGAGCAUUUAAGUAAUGUGUUUUCACGUGCCCGUGGCACGACUUUCUUUUCCGUGCCAGUUUCACGUAUUGGUUAUUCAAUUGUUUUUUCUAUUUUCUUACCAUUGUCGCUUGGGAUUGGGGUUAGAACAACUUUCUGUUUCAUAAAAUGACAUCCUCACCCUAACCCAACUCUAACCCCAAGCAAGAACAGUUUAAAUUUCUGACAAAUAAACGUAUAAACCAACUUUAUCCUCGCGGGAAAACAGUUUAAAAAUCUGACGAAAACCACAAAUCUAACCCCAAUACGUGAAACUGGCACGAAAAAGAAAGUUGUGCCACGGACAUGUGAAAACACGGAAACACAUCACUUAAAUGCUCGAAACAUUUCAAGCUGAUUUCAAAAACAGUCUCAUUUCUAUCUCACCAUAUCUGCGCUACUCAUCUGACCAACGGUGAGCUCGAACUGCUUCACUGCAGAAGCUGCCUUGAAGGCUACGGUACUUCUGGCAUCCAUCUAAGCUUUCAUUGUUAAGGGACUGCACAAGAGACUGUUAGAUCUACACAUAAAGCAACCAGUCAAUAUUUUUUGUUUUCUUAUGCAUCUCAUUUGGGGGUGUUGAAAAUAUAAGGUCGAUAUCACUUAAGCAUUCAGUAUUGGAUUCAUUUGUAACCAAACGAUCAGAAGCACCAUUCACUUCCAUAGUAUUCUUUUAUCCUACUAUGUAAGUCAAUGGUGCUUCUGGUCAGUUUGGUUACAGACAUUCCUCAAAAAAUCUUCGUGUUCAUCAGGACCCUUUAAUGUGUAGAAACAUCUCAGCAACCAUCAAGAAAAAAUGGAGGCAACGGAGCUAAAUUGCAGAUGUUGUUGCAAAGGGUCUGAAUAUGUAUAAUAUGCUGUCAUCAUAUUUUAAGUACAUCAUGAGCCAGAAUGGAUGGAUGGUGGUGGCCAUAAGAAGACAACUACACCAACAACAAAAUUCAUAUUUGCAGAUUCAGAUGAAUAAAAUGACUUUUAAA
Molecule: non-coding RNA, 1961 nt
Organism: Misgurnus anguillicaudatus (oriental weatherfish)
Lineage: Eukaryota; Metazoa; Chordata; Actinopteri; Cypriniformes; Cobitidae
Source: RefSeq, a predicted model, not a curated record